GUUGCUGGGGCUUGCGUGGGAGGAAGGUGACUGUGAGGAAGGUGUGUGUCCACCGAGCACUUGGAUUCAGCUUCUUCAUUUCCAACAUGGAAGAAACUUACACCGACUCCCUGGACCCUGAGAAGCUAUUGCAAUGCCCCUAUGACAAAAACCAUCAAAUCAGGGCUUGCAGGUUUCCUUAUCAUCUUAUCAAGUGCAGAAAGGUAGGGUCAUAAUUUGCCCUCUAACACCCUCCUGAGUUCUUUUAAAAGGCCAUAUUUUAUAAAUAUCAAAUAAUUUUAUCAUGUUUUAAUUGAUUGCCAGAAUUGUUUUGGGAAUCUACCUCUCUUAAAUACCAACAUUUAUAGAAAGGCAUUUGUUCAUUCCUUAGGAUAAAUUUUUUCUUGUUUUGGUUUUCUUCCCAUUAACUAGUGACAAAGAACCCUUUAUAAACAGCAUCUCUAGAGUCUUCUCACCCUUUGUAAAACAGACUAAUUUUGGCUAACAAUGAGAAAUCCUGCCUAUCUUCUAAAUUUGAUGUAUUCAUGAGCCUAACAAUGAUUGAGUGCUAUAACUCACUUUUUCUGA
Molecule: long non-coding RNA, 567 nt
Filed under: Homo sapiens (human)
Lineage: Eukaryota; Metazoa; Chordata; Mammalia; Primates; Hominidae
Description: non-protein coding lnc-GTSF1-2:1
Source: RNAcentral